This 709-nucleotide ribosomal RNA is filed under the name human gut metagenome. RNAcentral's name for it is "bacterial SSU rRNA". It matches the Rfam family "Bacterial small subunit ribosomal RNA", at positions 488 to 1201 of the family's 1533-position model. The record is from RNAcentral.
AAGCAUCGGCUAACUCCGUGCCAGCAGCCGCGGUAAUACGGGGGAUCCGAGCGUUAUCCGGAUUUAUUGGGUUUAAAGGGCGCGUAGGCGGGACGUCAAGUCAGCGGUAAAAGACUGCAGCUAAACUGUAGCACGCCGUUGAAACUGGCGCCCUGGAGACGAGACGAGGGAGGCGGAACAAGUGGAGUAGCGGUGAAAUGCAUAGAUAUCACUUGGAACCCCGAUAGCGAAGGCAGCUUCCCAGGCUCGAUCUGACGCUGAUGCGCGAAAGCGUGGGUAUCAAACAGGAUUAGAUACCCUGGUAGUCCACGCAGUAAACGAUGAUCACUGGAUCUUGGCGAUACACUGCCAGGGUUCAAGCGAAAGUAUUAAGUGAGCCACCUGGGGAGUACGUCGGCAACGAUGAAACUCAAAGGAAUUGACGGGGGCCCGCACAAGCGGAGGAACAUGUGGUUUAAUUCGAUGAUACGCGAGGAACCUUACCCGGGUUUAAAUGUAGAUUGCAUGAGGUGGAAACACUUCUUCCCUUCGGGGCUAUUUACAAGGUGCUGCAUGGUUGUCGUCAGCUCGUGCCGUGAGGUGUCGGGUUAAGUCCCAUAACGAGCGCAACCCCUAUCGCCAGUUGCCAUCGGUUGAAGCCGGGCACUCUGUCGAGACUGCCACCGUAAGAUGCGAGGAAGGCGGGGAUGACGUCAAAUCAGCACGGCCC